AGUGAACGCUGGCGGUAGGCCUAACACAUGCCAGUCGAACGGCAGCACAGUAAGAGCUUGCUCUUACGGGUGGCGAGUGGCGGACGGGUGAGGAAUACAUCGGAAUCUACUUUUUCGUGGGGGAUAACGUAGGGAAACUUACUCUAAUACCGCAUACGACCUACGGGUGAAAGCAGGGGAUCUUCUGACCUUGCGCGAUUGAAUGAGCCGAUGUCGGAUUAGCUAGUUGGCGGGGUAAAGGCCCACCAAGGCGACGAUCCGUGGCUGGUCUGAGAGGAUGGUCAGCCACACUGGAACUGAGACACGGUCCAGACUCCUACGGGAGGCAGCAGUGGGGAAUAUUGGACAAUGGGCGCAAGCCUGAUCCAGCCAUACCGCGUGGGUGAAGAAGGCCUUCGGGUUGUAAAGCCCUUUUGUUGGGAAAGAAAAGCAGCAGGUUAAUACCCCGCUGUUCUGACGGUACCCAAAGAAUAAGCACCGGCUAACUUCGUG
RNAcentral lists this ribosomal RNA (492 nucleotides) under uncultured bacterium. RNAcentral's name for it is "partial 16S ribosomal RNA". It matches the Rfam family "Bacterial small subunit ribosomal RNA", at positions 29 to 507 of the family's 1533-position model. The record is from RNAcentral.